RNAcentral lists this ribosomal RNA (562 nucleotides) under uncultured bacterium. Its description in RNAcentral is "partial 16S ribosomal RNA". It matches the Rfam family "Bacterial small subunit ribosomal RNA", at positions 355 to 1375 of the family's 1533-position model. The record is from RNAcentral.
UGGGGAAUAUUGGACAAUGGGCGCAAGCCUGAUCCAGCCAUGCCGCGUGAGUGAUGAAGGCCUUAGGGUUGUAAAGCUCUUUCGCCGGUGAAGAUAAUGACGGUAACCGGAGAAGAAGCCCCGGCUAACUUCGUGCCAGCAGCCGCGGUAAUACGAAGGGGGCUAGCGUUGCUCGGAAUCACUGGGCGUAAAGCGCACGUAGGCGGAUCGUUAAGUCAGGGGUGAAAUCCUGGAGCUCAACUCCAGAACUGCCCUUGAUACUGGCGAUCUCGAGUUCGAGAGAGGUUGGUGGAACUCCGAGUGUAGAGGUGAAAUUCGUAGAUAUUCGGAAGAACACCAGUGGCGAAGGCGGCCAACUGGCUCGAUACUGACGCUGAGGUGCGAAAGCGUGGGGAGCAAAACAGGAUUAGAUACCCUGGUAGUCCACGCCGUAAACGAUGGAUGCUAGCCGUUGGGGGGUUUUACCUCUCAGUGACGCAGCUAACGCCUUAAGCAUCCCGCCUGGGGAGUACGGUCGCAAGAUUAAAACUUAAAGGAAUUGACGGGGUCAUAGCUGUUUCCU